This 301-nucleotide ribosomal RNA is filed under the name uncultured bacterium. Its description in RNAcentral is "partial 16S ribosomal RNA". It matches the Rfam family "Bacterial small subunit ribosomal RNA", at positions 509 to 808 of the family's 1533-position model. The record is from RNAcentral.
CAGUCGCCGCGGUAAUACGUAGGUGGCAAGCGUUGUCCGGAAUUAUUGGGCGUAAAGGGCUCGCAGGCGGUUUCUUAAGUCUGAUGUGAAAGCCCCCGGCUCAACCGGGGAGGGUCAUUGGAAACUGGGAAACUUGAGUGCAGAAGAGGAGAGUGGAAUUCCACGUGUAGCGGUGAAAUGCGUAGAGAUGUGGAGGAACACCAGUGGCGAAGGCGACUCUCUGGUCUGUAACUGACGCUGAGGAGCGAAAGCGUGGGGAGCGAACAGGAUUAGAGCCCCAGUAGUCCCUGUCUCUUAUACA